CCUACGUGUGUCAGCAGUGAGGAAUAUUGGUCAAUGGGCGUAAGCCUGAACCAGCCAAGUCGCGUGAGGGAUGAAGGUUCUAUGGAUCGUAAACCUCUUUUAUAAGGGAAUAAAGUGUGGGACGUGUCCGAUUUUGUAUGUACCUUAUGAGUAAGGAUCGGCUAACUCCGUGCCAGCAGCCGCGGUAAGACGGAGAAUCCGAGCGUUAUCCGGAUUUAUUGGGUUUAAAGGGUGCGUAGGCGGCCUUUUAAGUCAGCGGUGAAAGUCUGUGGCUCAACCAUAAAAUGGACGUUGAUACUGGGGGGCUUGAGUAUGUUUGAGGCAGGCGGAAUGCGUGGUGUAGCGGUGAAAUGCUUAGAUAUCACGAAGAACCCCGAUUGCGAAGGCAGCCUGCCAAGCCAUGACUGACGCUGAUGCACGAAAGCGUGGGGAUCAAACAGGAUUAGAUACCCCUGUAGUC
Molecule: ribosomal RNA, 460 nt
Filed under: uncultured bacterium
Lineage: Bacteria
Description: partial 16S ribosomal RNA
Rfam family: Bacterial small subunit ribosomal RNA
Source: RNAcentral